GACGAACGCUGGCGGCGUGCCUAACACAUGCAAGUCGAACGGAGAUACGAUUUCGGUUGUAUCUUAGUGGCGAACGGGUGAGCAACGCGUGAGCAACCUGACCUUUAGAGGGGGAUAACACUUGGAAACAGGUGCUAAUACCGCAUAAGACCACGACCUGACAUCAGGAUGAGGUCAAAGGAGCAAUCCGCUAAAGGAGGGGCUCGCGUCCCAUUAGAUAGAUGGCGGGGUAACGGCCCACCAUGUCGACGAUGGGUAGCCGAGCUGAGAGGCUGAUCGGCCACACUGGAACUGAGACACGGUCCAGACUCCUACGGGAGGCAGCAGUGGGGAAUAUUGGGCAAUGGGCGCAAGCCUGACCCAGCAACGCCGCGUGAGGGAAGAAGGGCCUUCGGGUUGGCAAACCUCUGUCCUUGGUGACGAACAAAUGACGGUAGCCAAGGAGGAAGCCCCGGCUAACUACGUGCCAGCAGCCGCGGUAAU
This 483-nucleotide ribosomal RNA is filed under the name uncultured bacterium. Its description in RNAcentral is "bacterial SSU rRNA". It matches the Rfam family "Bacterial small subunit ribosomal RNA", at positions 28 to 524 of the family's 1533-position model. The record is from RNAcentral.